RNAcentral lists this ribosomal RNA (253 nucleotides) under uncultured bacterium. RNAcentral describes it as "partial 16S ribosomal RNA". It matches the Rfam family "Bacterial small subunit ribosomal RNA", at positions 524 to 776 of the family's 1533-position model. The record is from RNAcentral.
UACGUAGGGGGCAAGCGUUGUCCGGAAUUACUGGGCGUAAAGCGCACGUAGGCGGACUGUUAAGUCGGGGGUGAAAUCCUGGGGCUCAACCUCAGAAUUGCCUCCGAUACUGGCAGUCUCGAGUGCGGGAGAGGUGAGUGGAAUUCCCAGUGUAGAGGUGAAAUUCGUAGAUAUUGGGAAGAACACCAGUGGCGAAGGCGGCUCACUGGCCCGUAACUGACGCUGAGAUGCGAAAGCGUGGGGAGCAAACAGG